RNAcentral lists this ribosomal RNA (290 nucleotides) under Staphylococcus aureus. RNAcentral describes it as "partial 16S ribosomal RNA". It matches the Rfam family "Bacterial small subunit ribosomal RNA", at positions 1 to 279 of the family's 1533-position model. The record is from RNAcentral. Lineage: Bacteria; Bacillati; Bacillota; Bacilli; Caryophanales; Staphylococcaceae.
UUUUAUGGAGAGUUUGAUCCUGGCUCAGGAUGAACGCUGGCGGCGUGCCUAAUACAUGCAAGUCGAGCGAACGGACGAGAAGCUUGCUUCUCUGAUGUUAGCGGCGGACGGGUGAGUAACACGUGGAUAACCUACCUAUAAGACUGGGAUAACUUCGGGAAACCGGAGCUAAUACCGGAUAAUAUUUUGAACCGCAUGGUUCAAAAGUGAAAGACGGUCUUGCUGUCACUUAUAGAUGGAUCCGCGCUGCAUUAGCUAGUUGGUAAGGUAACGGCUUACCAAGGCAACGA